UGCAAACAAUGUGAGUAUGAUUGUCCAAGAUAAUAACGAAUAACACCAAAGUUAUUAAUGUGGAUACAUUGCACAAUAUGCAAUGAAGCGAGGAUAAGUUACUAAUCAACCAUAUUAGCUUAACAUGAAUGAACAACUAUGCACAGCCAGGAUUUGACGAAAUACUAUGCAUGUCAGCGUAACUCAUUUUAGUCUAGCAACAAUGAGAUUUUUCUUUUUAUAGGUACAUUUUAGUUGAACAACAACACGAUCUUUGCUGCACUAUGAUGAGAGUGAGCAUUAUUAUAAUUUGGCCUUCCCAUUCAGGGAGCUGG
Molecule: unclassified non-coding RNA, 314 nt
Filed under: Hevea brasiliensis (rubber tree)
Lineage: Eukaryota; Viridiplantae; Streptophyta; Magnoliopsida; Malpighiales; Euphorbiaceae
Source: RNAcentral